UCUUGGUCAAUUAGAGGAAGUAAAAGUCGUAACAAGGUCUCCGUAGGUGAACCUGCGGAGGGAUCAUUACACAAUAAAAUACGAAGGCCGUUCGCGGCUGGACUAUUUAUUACCCUUGUCUUUUGCGCACUUGUUGUUUCCUGGGCGGGCGCUCGCCACCAGGACCACAAUAUAAACCUUUUUUAUGCAGUUGCAAUCAGCGUCAGUACAACAAAUGUAAAUCAUUUACAACUUUCAACAACGGAUCUCUUGGUUCUGGCAUCGAUGAAGAACGCAGCGAAAUGCGAUACGUAGUGUGAAUUGCAGAAUUCAGUGAAUCAUCGAAUCUUUGAACGCACAUUGCGCCCUUUGGUAUUCCAAAGGGCAUGCCUGUUCGAGCGUCAUUUGUACCCUCAAGCUUUGCUUGGUGUUGGGCGUUUUUGUCCCCCCCAAAAAAGGGGACUCGCCUUAAAAGGAUUGGCAGCCGGCCUACUGGUUUCGCAGCGCAGCACAUUUUUGCGCUUGCAAUCAGCAAAAGAGGACGGCAAUCCAUCAAGACUCCUUCUCACGUUUGACCUCGGAUCAGGUAGGGAUACCCGCUGAACUUAAGCAUAUCAAU
Molecule: ribosomal RNA, 598 nt
Filed under: Bipolaris sp. P13E1
Lineage: Eukaryota; Fungi; Ascomycota; Dothideomycetes; Pleosporales; Pleosporaceae
Description: eukaryotic LSU rRNA
Rfam family: 5.8S ribosomal RNA (bases 230-383)
Source: RNAcentral